UACGGAAGGCAGCAGUGGGGAAUAUUGCACAAUGGGCGCAAGCCUGAUGCAGCCAUGCCGCGUGUAUGAAGAAGGCCUUCGGGUUGUAAAGUACUUUCAGCGGGGAGGAAGGCGAUGCGGUUAAUAACCGCGUCGAUUGACGUUACCCGCAGAAGAAGCACCGGCUAACUCCGUGCCAGCAGCCGCGGUAAUACGGAGGGUGCAAGCGUUAAUCGGAAUUACUGGGCGUAAAGCGCACGCAGGCGGUCUGUUAAGUCAGAUGUGAAAUCCCCGGGCUUAACCUGGGAACUGCAUUUUGAAACUGGCAGGCUUGAGUCUUGUAGAGGGGGUAGAAUUCCAGGUGUAGCGGUGAAAUGCGUAGAGAUCUGGAGGAAUCCGGUGGCGAAGGCGGCCCCUGGGACAAAGCUGACGCUCAGGUGCGAAAGCGUGGGGAGCAAACGAGGAUUAGAUACC
Molecule: ribosomal RNA, 453 nt
Filed under: uncultured bacterium
Lineage: Bacteria
Description: bacterial SSU rRNA
Rfam family: Bacterial small subunit ribosomal RNA
Source: RNAcentral